AUCAGGUAAGGUUACCCGCUGAACUUAAGCAUAUCAAUAAGCGGAAGAAAAGAAACCAACAGGGAUUGCCUCAGUAACGGCGAGUGAAGCGGCAAGAGCUCAAAUUUGAAAUCUGGCCCCGUCGGGGUCCGAGUUGUAAUUUGGAGAGGAUGCUUCGGGUGUCGCCCCCGUCUAAGUGCCCUGGAACGGGUCGUCAUAGAGGGUGAGAAUCCCGUCUGGGAUGGGUGGUGCCACCUGUGUGAAGCUCCUUCGAAGAGUCGAGUUGUUUGGGAAUGCAGCUCUAAGUGGGUGGUAAAUUUCAUCUAAAGCUAAAUACUGGCCGGAGACCGAUAGCGCACAAGUAGAGUGAUCGAAAGAUGAAAAGCACUUUGAAAAGAGAGUUAAACAGCACGUGAAAUUGUUGAAAGGGAAGCGUUGGGCACCAGACUCGCCCGGGAGGGCUCAGCCGGCACGUGUGUCGGUGCACUCCUUCCUGGGCGGGCCAGCGUCGGUUUGGGCGGCCGGUCAAAGGCCCCGGGAAUGUAGCACCCUCCGGGGUGCCUUAUAGCCUGGGGUGCCAUGCGACCUGCCCGGACCGAGGAACGCGCUCCGGCUCGGACGCUGGCGUAAUGGUGGUCAACGGCC
RNAcentral lists this ribosomal RNA (624 nucleotides) under Talaromyces bacillisporus. RNAcentral's name for it is "eukaryotic LSU rRNA". It matches the Rfam family "Eukaryotic large subunit ribosomal RNA", at positions 10 to 649 of the family's 3401-position model. Lineage: Eukaryota; Fungi; Ascomycota; Eurotiomycetes; Eurotiales; Trichocomaceae. The record is from RNAcentral.